Molecule: non-coding RNA, 36989 nt
Organism: Rattus norvegicus (Norway rat)
Lineage: Eukaryota; Metazoa; Chordata; Mammalia; Rodentia; Muridae
Source: RefSeq, a predicted model, not a curated record
UGCCAACGGCCGGUUUGAAUCUGUGGAAAUGCAGGAGCCCGGCUGUGAGAAGGCUGAGGAGGAGCCUCGGGCGGGCGAGCAGGGAAAAUUCCGAGAAGCCCUUUAUUAUAAACAGAGUUCCUGUUCACCUAAAUGAGGUCUCCCUCCUUCUCAGGAGCUGGGCAUACAUACACCUUCCCUGUCUUCUGUGUUUGCCAACUUUCCUUGCCUGGAGUCUUCCUCAUGCAUGACUUCAUACAGUUGAAAUGAUGAAGCUCAGAGCCACACUGAAAGCCACACUGAUGAAGCGACCACCAGCCUGGACGUGUGACUGACUGAAGACUUCUUCUGGACUCAGAUAUGUGCAUGACUUUUGUGUCUGAUCAUUAUAUUGUGGGUUUACGUAUUACUCUAAUUCAUAUAUGUUCCCAAUAUAUUGUCUAACCUUCUAUGUAGUAACUGUGGUGGUUUGAAUAUCUUCCAUAACCUCUGAGUACUUAGUCCCCAGUUGGUGCUGUUUGGGGAGGCUUAGGAAGAAUGUCACUGGGGGUGGGCUUUGUGAGUUCAAAGACUCCCACCAUUGACAGUCCGCUCUCUGCUCCCUGCCUGUGGUCCAAGCCAUGAGCUCUCUGCUGUUGCUCCAGUUGCCAAGCCUGCCUGCUGCCUUGUGUCCUCACCAUGCUGAUGAUGGACUCUUAUCUCUCUGGCAUCAUAAGCCCCAAAUACACCCUUCUUUCUAUAAGUUGCCCUGGUCACGGUGCUUUGCACAGGAAUAGAAAAGGAAUUCAUUCAGCAAUGGAUCACUUCCCUGAAGCCAACCACAGUGCCUGUGUGCAAAUAAGAAACCAGAGUGCUAAAGUUCACCAGGAAAGAGAAGGGAGCAGUCACCUGCACAGCUCUGCCAUUGACAUCGGCUCCGACGGACGCGGCCGUAGCAAUUGUAUUGGGCACCGCUGCUGUGCAUGUUUCGCUGGUGUGCAGGUACGACAUGGGUAUUUUCAAUUCACGGCUGGCCACCUACGAGAAAGGACGUAGUUCAAAUCCAAUAAAGAAUUCUAGAAAACUUAAGCCAUUGGAUUGCAUGGAAAAAUGAUCUUUUAAAAAGCAAUUUUUAUUACAUUUUAAUUUAGUUUUUAUGACUGUGUAGUAUGUACCAAAGCAUCCAUGUGGAGAUCAGAGGACAAUUUUCAGGGGUCAGUUCUUUCCUUCUACCACAUGAGUCUGGGGCUUAAACUACAGUGGUUAGACUUGGUGGCAAGCACCCUUGACCCACUGAGCCAUCUUGACAGCUCCUUUGUGGUCCGCCACCCCCCCUCCUCCCCUCUUCCUUCUCUCGCUGUGUCUCUGUCUCUCUCCCUCUCGCCUUUCUUUCCUUCCUUCUUUCCUUCCUUCUUUCCUUCCUUCCUCCCUUCCUUCCUUCCUUCCUUCCUUCCUUCCUUCCUUCCUUCCUUCCUUCCUUCCUUCCUUCUCUCCUCCUCCUCUUACUCUUCUUUAAGACAAGAUCUCACUAUGUUGCUCUAUCCUGGAACUCACCUUGUAGUCCAGGCUGUCCUCGAACCCAUGAAGAUCUGCUUACUUCUCCAUCCCAAGUGCCUGUGCUGCUACCCAUGGCAAUGUUACUCCCUCCCCCUUUAUUAUCUUAGUUUUUAUAGGUGUCCUUCAGAGAAGCUGAGAGGAAAAGAACAGAAAAUUUAAAAGUGAAUAGCAAAUACUAGAAAAAUAUAAGCAGGUGGGGGUUAAAUAGAAAUGAAAAGAGGAAGAUCUGAAAAAGCCAGUCUGAUCCGCCUGGAGUGGGAGUUACAGGCUGUUGUGAGCUGCCUGACAUGGGUGCUUGGAAUUGAAUGGGUCCUUUGGAAAAGCCAUGGACACGUGGUAAAAAACCUGCCUCAAGCAAAACAAAAAACCAAAAAGCAAACAAACAAACAAAAUGGGGCCAGAGGGCUGACAAGCAUGUCUGUCCCUGGGAACUUUAUGGUCUCAUUAGGGUCCUUACUCUGCCUCUGGCAUUUGCCUUCCUUUCUCCAGGACCAUAUUAUUUACAAUGCUAGGUAGACUUCUCCACUGCACAGAAUUGCUACGGAUGACCCCUGACCUUCAGCCUAGCUCAUAAACAACCCUGGGGAGAGAUUCCUCUCAGAGCAGCUGCUUGUCUGUCUUAGAAAAGGAGGCUGGCUGACCUUGCACGAACCAUAUACUUUCUUUCCUGCACUUGAUGGGGUUCACUGGGUCUGGAUCUUGCAUUCCUGUCUGGCAGGAGUGUGAGCAAGGAGGAGAGGCCUGAAUGAGGAGUCCUUUGGAACAUGUGUACUGUGGGAGGCAAUUCUAAGGGAGCUAAGGGGUCAGGUGAUGAAAGCUACACUGUGAUGAUCUGAAGGGUUGCAUGUGCUUAAUUUAAAGGAUUAUGGUUUUUUCUGAGAUCACAUGUCUUUAAAAUUAUAGGUCAUGGCUGGUUAGUUGGCCUAGCAGAUAAAUGUAUUUACCACUGAGCCCGAUGAGCUAUGUCAGAUACCCAGAACUCACGUGGUGGAAGGAGAGAACGGACUCUCCUAAAGUGUCCUCUGAUCUCCACAUAUGUCAUGUGUACUGAGUGUGUGUGCACAUGCAUGAGGAGGCAUAAACACACAAAUGUUGGUUUUUCUUUUUCUUUUGUUUCUUUCUUUCCUUUCUUUGUUCUUCCUUUCUCUUUCUUUUCCUCCUCCUCCUCCUUCUUCUCUCUGUCUCUCAAAGAUUUAUUCAUUUCUUCAUUUUAUGUAUGUGAGUACACUGUAGCUGUCUUCAGACACACCAGAAGAGGGAAUCAGAUCCCAUUACAGAUGACUGUGAGCCACCAUGUGGUUGCUGGGAUUUGAACUCAGGACCUCUGGAAGAGCAGUCAGUGCUCUUAACCUCUGAACCAUCUCUCCAGCAUCCCCCCCACCCCCCGACUUCCUUUCUUCUUUUUUUGUCCUCUGAGACAGGGUUUCACUAUUAUAGUCCUUGCCUGUCCUGGAAUUCUCUCUGCAGACAAGGCUGGUCUCAGACUCAGAGAUCCACCUGUCUCUGCCUCCUAAGCGCUGGGAUUACAGGUGUGCGCCACCACCUGGCUAUUAGUUUUUUUUUUUUUUUUUUUUUUUUUUUUUUUUUUUUUUUUUUUUUUUUGGAGACAGGAUUUCUCUGUGUAACCCUAGCUGUCCUGGAACUUGCUCUGUAGACUAGGCUGGACUUGAACUCAGAAAUCUGCCUGUCUACAUAUCCAGAGUGCCAGGAUUAAAACUGUGUGCAACCACACCAGCAUCUUAAUUUUUAAAUGAAAGAGAGAUGGUGUUAUAGCUCAGUGUUAAAGCACUUGCCUAGCAUGCGAUUAGCCCUAAAUUUAACCCCUAGUACUAAAUGAGAGAGACAGAGAGACAGAGACAGAGAGACAGAGAGAAUUAGUUACAGAAUGUUGAUAGUUGGGGAUUUAGCUCAGUGGUAGAGCGCUUGCCUAGCGAGCACAAGGCCCUGGGUUCGGUCCCCAGCUCCGAAAAAAAGAAAAAAGAAAAAAAAAAAAAAGAAUGUUGAUGGUUGAUGAAUUGUUGGUUCUCUCCAAUUCCUUGUUAUUUAUGUGGGUGUAUGGAGCCUCCGUCAUAGUGUUCUGCCAGCUCAUGACUGGUGACUUCACUAAUAAUCUCUUCCACCUCUCACCCUUGGCCAAGUUCCAGGAGCAUUUGUAUGUGCAUAGGAUUUCUGUCACAGUGUUCAUCAGAGUUUAUAUGCAAGAAACUUUUCAACAGGUCAAAGUCUUUACGUUUGAAUGCACUGUCACCAUUUACCUUAAAAGACACCCCAAGUAUCAGUCAUGUGAACGGUGGUGGAAAGAUGAAUUUUCUUGGUUUUACCUGUAACAUUUUGGUGUGAAUGCCUUGUCCCAGCUCAUUGCCUCCAUGUGCCACCAACACAGAGCCGUCGGUGUAGAUGUGAACGAGCGCGGCUGCCUGUAAGACAAUCCAGAAGGAGCACUUCAGUGAGUGUUGGUGAAUUCAAUAUAGGAAAGGAGGGAGAGCCUGGGAGGUGGCAUAGGGGUUAAGAGCACUGGCUGAUCUUGCCGAGGACCCAGGUUCGAUUCCCAGCACCCACAUGGCAGCUCACAACUAUAACACCAGUUCCGGGAAAUACAGCUUUCUCUUUUGGUUUUAAUGGGCAAUGCACACACAUGGUACAAAGACAUAUAUGCAGGCAAGAUUCUCACACACAUAAAAUAAUUUCUAAAAAUUUAGGAUAAGAAAUGAGGUAGUGAAACCUUCCUCUCUGGAGCGAGGAAGUCAAAGAUGUAAGGUUUCCCCUAUGGCCUUGAACUUACUUCUACUCUACCAAAAGUCAACUGGAAAGAAUUUCCCUAUGUAGCAAUCUGGAUUUUUUUUUUUUUAGACAGAGUCUUACUUAGCUCUAGCUGGCUAAGAACUCCUUCAGGCUGGCCUUGAACUCAGAAAUUUGCCUGCCGCAGUCCCCCAAGUGCUAGGGUUAAAAUCAUGUCUGAUCAAACCCUCUUGGUCUCAACUACUUGACAGUCAACUCCAUUGGGGGCUGAUUGUGCAACUACUGAAUGGAUACUUUCCUGGUCUCCAUUUAGACACAAACAUGAACAAGCUGCUUCGAGCGGGGCAUAAGAUGGUGGGGACUCAGGCUGACAUCCAGUCACUGAGGGGCAGAAUUUCAGUGGCUCAAGGCUGUGGAAAAUGGGUUCUGUGAGAGCUUUACCAGUCUGACUUGAACAGCAGCUGGGUGACUAAUAGAUGGGUUCGACCAUCAUAGUAACUGCCCAGAGUUAGCAUAGACUCCGCAAAUCAAGGGUUAAAUUCCCUGACGAGACAAUGACAAGGGACAGAAGUGAGCGAGGUGACUCCCUUUUGCCUGUUGCUGAGAGCCCUGCUCCUUGUCACAGCUGUCCUUUGGGGUCUGGUCUCACCGCCACCCCACUACAUUACUGUCUCUUCUUGACUUGUCCAAUCCCACCAUGACUCCUCUCGGACCCUGACUCCUGCUCUGCUGUCUGCAGUUCCUGAAUGGCUCCCUGCUCUCCAUCUGUCCAGCAUUCAGACCCGCAGUCUCCACUCUCUUAACAUUCCCUGCAGCACCUGACCAUUUCUGGGAAAGCCCCAUCACCUCCUCCAUCCUUCCUCUUUCAAGUUCUGGGUGCGACAGUGGCUCACCCCUCCUAGUUCGCCUCUGCCUCAGAACAUGUCCCGAGCUGGAAAUAGUUUUUGCAGAUUUAAUUAUUUGAGAUGACUAAUAGAAGUGGGCGCCAAAUUCAACAACUGGUGUCCUUAGCAGACUCUGGGGAUAACACCAGGGAUGAUGGCCCACGAAGCUGGAAGCAGCCAGUGGAGUUACAUUGCUAUAAGCCAAGAAGCGGCAGGAGCCAGAAGAGGCUGGGAGAGCCUGGAGGCCUUGGAGGUUCUGCUGAUACCAUGACUCUGAACCUAUAGAACUGAAGGACACACACACACACACACACACACACACACACACACACACACACAUCAUUUGAGUUGCCCAGCAUGUAAUAAUUUGCUGUAGCUACCACAGGGUACCCCGGGGACCAAAGCUCUGCUCUGAAAUUCCCCAAACAAGGCUGGCCUUGUGUGACUGUGUCCUAGAGAGAACGUGAGCAGGUUGGACUCACAGAGACUGUGUAGAUUUUGUUAAGUGAGAUGAGUGAAAAGGUGGUGUUUUUCCUCCCAGUCUGGAGAUGCCUGCAGGCUCCGGGAUGGUUUGGAGGGGUUAGACAGCUUGGAGGUAGGUGCAUGGUGCUAAUAAUAGUAUCUAUUCACGGUAGCCUGUGGCCACAGCAGUACCACUCUGCUUCCCACUGUUUGUGAGGAGGCGUUCCAGCUGUGUCAGCAGCUGACCUGGAAUGACUCUAGCCAGACCUGGCCAAGUGGUUCUUGGGCAUCUCAAUUUACAGCUCUGUGGGGAAGCUGGAGGCCUUUCAGAUGGAGACGAACAGUCAUCCGCUGAGGUAAAGUUUUGUCUAAUGUGGCCAAAAGAAGACCCAGCACCGGGGUUGGGGAUUUAGCUCAGUGGUAGAGCGCUCGCCUAGCAAACCCUGCGUUCGGUCCCCAGCUCCGAAAAAAAAAAGAAAAAAAAAAAAAAAAAAAAAAAAAGAAGAAGAAGACCCAGCACCUAGGGAUGACAGUGGAGGGGCUGUAGGUUUUGUGCAAAGGGGCCAUAUAGAUGACAAAACUAGGUCCUUAGUCUUGUUUCUGGCUCUUGGCACAGUGCUUCCUACUGUCAAGUCUUGAAAAGUGCUAUCUUUUGCCAAGGAGGUGCCUCAGGAGGUACUGGGAUAGGUUCAGGGUGAGCGGGUCAGCCUGUGUGCAUGUUUGUGUGUGGGUGGUGCUGCUGGUGAUGGUGUAUUCCAGGCCCACUGCACCUUUCUGAGUUCUGUCCACUUCUUGGGGGUUGAACACCCAGAAGACAAGCUCUUUGUCCCUCCCCAGUGUCCUGCCUUAGGCAUCUCUCCCAUUGGCUGCUUUGGAGUGUGUCAUUUGUAUUAGCUGGCAAUGAGAAUGCAAUGUAAAAAGCUUUCCUGAGUUUUGUGAUUUGUUCUAGAAAAUCAUUACAGCUAAAAAACAAAACAAACAAACAAACAAAAAAACCAUUAUUGGGAUAGUGGUGCAUGGGGUACCUCUCAACUUAGUGGUCAUUUAGGCAGAAGUAUGUAUUCGUAGCUGAUGUCAGAGUAGAUAAAGUCUGUGGAAUUUAACCCUUGAUUUGUGGUGACUAUGCUAACUCUGGGCAGUUACUACCAUGGUUGAACCCAUCUACUAGUCACCCAGCUGCUGUUCAAGUCAGGCUGGUAAAGAUAUGAUAUUUGGUGGCAGAGAAAAACCACACUGGUGGCCAUCCAGGGUCCACUGAUUCAGUCCAGCUAAUGGAUGUGAGAACUAACCCUGUACCCAUCUAUGGAAUGGUCAGACUGCACCCAAGCAGGGAUAUGACCCAGAAGCUGAGGGUAUCUUAUCCUCCCCGUCAGGGGAGGAAGAGCCCUGAGAGAUGUGUCUGAUCUCUCUUGGGAGGGGCUUAGGGUUACCCUGGCUGACUUCCAGAAAGGUCAAGGAAUCUUGCCAAGUGCCCUAUAUUAAUUUUCUCGGCCAGUCAUCAUCAGUCCUAAGAGACUGUUAUUGUUAGUCUCACUUUACAGUUGAUGGAGCUAAAGCUCUGAAAGUCUGAAGAACUUUAAUGUCACACAGCUAGCAAAUGGCAGACCAAGAGCGGCUCGGGGUCUCCUUUCUGACCCCAGUUGACUAAGAAUUGGGAUCAACUGCAUGAGGCCCUCAUGCUUGCCACCAAAGCUUCUUGGCACAGUGACCCUUUUCCUACUACCACAUGAAGCCUCUCAUGCGUCUGCACUUUCUCCUAGGUAUAUUCAGGGAGGGGCCUGGUGCUUUGGGAAGUGUGGCAUCCUCUGAAACCAGAAUCGGUUGAUUGGACCAAGAUUGUGUUGGACAUAAGGUCAUUUACCACACGCUGCGUGUGUGUGUGAACUUUACCUGAUGAUAGCUUGUCGCAGCAAAGCCAACUGAAAACUUCAUGGGGACGACCGCAAUGCCUCUCUUCCUCCAGUAACUCUUCUUAUUGAACUCGUCCACUCUUGUCCUUCUAAUGGCAAAGGAAGACUUGUCCAGACACUCGUUCCAGCACCUUAUCAGGGGUUCGGGGUUGAACGCUUGUUUGUAGAUGGUUUUAUCAACUGUUUUGUACAUGUUUUUCUCCCUAAUCUGAAACAAGUGUGAACUUCCAUCAGAACUUAUGGUGAGACAGACAGACAGACUUUUUCCCAUUGUUUUUGAAUGGCACAAGCUGCUGUGAGAAUGGUGGGACUACUUUUCAUCUCCUCAUUAAUGCACCAGCUAGGGUCUCUCUGUCUGAAGUAAAGUGCAGUUGACAGUGACUAGUCUAAAAGGGAGUAUGAUGAAAGCCUAGGGAGGUAGGUUACCUCCCUCCCUUCCUCCCUCUCUCCCUCCCUCCCUACUCAUUCACCUAUCAUCUAUCUUUCUAAGUACAAUCUAUCUACCUAUCUAUCUUAUAUCCUGUGUGUGUGUAUGUGUGUGCGUGUGUGUGUGUGUAUGUGUGUGCGUGUGUGUGUACAUGCCCUGGUAUAUGUGUGGACAUCAGAGGAUGACUCUUGGGAGUCCAUUUUCUCCUUCUACAGUGUGGUUGUCAGGGAUAAAACUCAGGUUAUCCAGCUUGGCAGCCUUUUCCCUCUGAGCCAUCCUCCUGGGCCAUGGUUUUCUUUUUCAAAUCGCAGAGCUCAGGGGAUGGAGCAGAGCCAGUUAGAGUGUCUUAAAGCCAGGCUCUACUGUCACGAGUGAAGCCUGUUCUGUUACUGAGAAAUCAGGAAACAGAUAAUGACAAACGGCAGAUCUUUAAGUCUUCUGAUUGCAUGAUUAAGUCUUUUCAAGUUUGUGUGUGAACAGGAUCGGCUUCAUAUCCUGGGAAUUUCGACAUCCAGCAAAGGAGAUCCUACUGGAAAUGGUUGGGGGAGUGGUUUCAUCAUUUCCAACUUCUGACAGAAGUAAAAGAAUGCUGUAUUGCCACCAGCAACAACACUGGAUUUUUAAAGAAUAUGCAGAUGAUAAAAUCUUUUUUCUUUUACUUUUUGUUUGUGUAUCUCUGGUGUUGGAGCCCAAGGCUUUGUGAAUGCUGGCUGAACUCUCUAUCCCUGAGCUACAGUCUCAGCCCCACGAAAAUGAAUGUUUUUGUAAAAGUUUAUUUCUCAGAAAUUCUGUGAAGUAAACCAUCUUGUUCUUCUAGCCAAGGCAUCUGGGGCACAGAGGCCCACUGUUCCUCCUAUCCCAUUUGCUUCGACCGCCUCUCCAUACUGUUCCUCAAGCUGAACCUCGUGCCAUCUUCUCCAGAAGGUUAUGUUUUUUUGAGUCUCCAAAAUCUCAUCCUGAUGUGAUAUGCCUUCCUCCUUGGACCCAUGGGCACCUUUUGUGAAGUCUUAUAGAAAUUUAUUAUUAUUCUGAAAUACGCUGUAUAUGGACUAGGUGUUCUCUGGUGCAGAGGAAAUACUCUGCCAAUCAAAUGAAAACCUGGGGGUCCCAUUGACUUUAGGCACAAAGAUUCUCCAGAGACAACGCAUAGAGAAUCCUUGCGGAGCAGCGGGUCUGGAUCAUGAAGACAGGGUGGACAUGGAGCACGCACUCAGAUGUGAUGGAACAGAAAUGUUCUUGCCCUCCAACAUGAACCUUCCCUGUGAGGGGCAAGGGCAGGAACAUGCCUGGAGCACAUGCUGGCUGGAAGCUGCCAUCGUUGGAGCGUUUUACAUGAAGAAGGGUGUGAACUGCCCACCUGCAGUAGUGCCCAGCAAGGAACCUGAUAUUCACCGCGUGACAAUCGAGCUUUUUUUCAGGGCACAGGAAUGAAUUGUGCUGUAUGGCAUCCUAUGCAAAAGGACGAAAACACAAAGACAGUCAUCCCUUCUCUUUGCUGUUGCCGGCUAGUAGAUUCCCCCACAUUGUUGCCUCCUGGGACACAAGAAAGGUAUCAUCGAGCGUUCAAGAGGUCUAGAGUACACAAGGUGUCAGAGGGACUGUCUUCUACAUUUGCAGAGAAAGUCAGCCAGAAGGACUAGGGAAACAUGAAGAAGGAAGCCAUUUUCAGAACGGAGGCUGGGCUCAGAGGGAUGCUCUACUGAGAGAACACUUGCUCACUUUUAGCAUGGGUCUCUAGGAACAGUGCUGGGUGCCCAGACACCAUGGGGGAGCUGCUGAGCCCUCCUUUUCCAUGUCUCCCUGAGGAAAAAGGUGUGUUAGAUACUAGGUAGCUACACAUGUGAACCUCUUCUUCACUCGGGAUCUUGAUGGAUCCCGUGUUGAUGGAGAGGACACAGGUCCUCACACUCUGAUAGGGACAAGAAGACAUAGUAUACAUUGUAAUUCCUUUGGGUAUUGGACAUAUUUCUAAAGAACCUUUCUAGAGUUUUGUUCUUCCCCACUCCCUUCCUCCUCCAACUCUACUCUCUGGCAUUAGCUUGAACUGAUAUCCCACGUGGAAGCCAUUCUUCUCCUUGGUUCUGUGGACUGAUUUACCACAGCCGAUUCUUGCUAACCCUGUAGACCCAGUCUGUCCUUCUGCACUUCAGAAUGACAUUUGUCUCUUGCAUUCUUGGAGUCCAAAGACACUAGAGUCCGUCCACAGCCUUUCCUUCUUGUUAAUGGUAAUAGUGAGAGCGGCUACUUUCUAUUGAGUAGCACUUUGUGACAAAUUAUUGCAUAGCAGUUUCCCUUGAGUUGAUAUAUGCUACACUGCAGAGAAACUUGGGACACUCUGAAUCAAGGUUCCUUAAGACUCAGGAUUCUCUAAAUGGAGGCUCGUUAAGACUCAGGCAGUUAAAGGGGUGUAGCAAUGCAUGCCUUUAAUCCCAGUACUUGAGACCCAGAGGCAAGAGAAUCUCUGUGAGUUAGAGGUCAGCUUAGUCUCACAGUGAGUUCCAGGACAGCCAGAGAUAUGCAAUGAGACUCUCUCUCAACAAAAUCAAAAAACUCAAGUGGUGGCUGGAGAGAUGGCUCAGCAGUUAAGAGCACUGGCUGUUCUUCCGGGGGAUCCAUAUUCAAUUCCCAGCAUCCACAUGAUGACUCAUAACCAUGCACUGUGGUUCCCAACCAUCCAGUUCCAUUUCAUAUGAUAAUCCUCUGGUGGUUUGAAUAGGUUUGGUACUCAUAGAGUCGUGCAUUUGAAUGCUUGGCCUAUAGGGAGUCGCACUAUUAGGAGGUGUGGCCUUGUUGGAGGAAGCGUGUCACUGGCUUUUGGCUAACUUUGGAUCAAGAUGUAGAACUCUCCUCCAGCACCAUGUCUGCCUGGAUGCUGCUAUGCUUUUUUUUUACCAUUGAUGAUAAUGGACUGAACCUCUGAACCUGUAAGCUAGCCCCAAUGAAAUGUUUUCCUUUAUAAGAGUUGCCUUGGUCAUAGUGUCUCUUUGCAACAAUGGAAAUCCUAACUAAGACACCCUCUUUUGGCUCCCUGGCAAAAUAUGUUCAGACAACACCCCCUGUUUACUGUUUUUUUUUCUUUUUAAAGGUUUAUUUAUUUAUAAGUACAUUGUAACUGUCUUCAUACACACCAGAAGAGGGCAUCAGAUCUCAUUACAGAAGGUUAUGAACCACCAUGUGGUUUAAUGGAAUUUGAACUCAGGACCUCUGGAAGAGCAGUCAGUGCUCUCAACCACUGAGUCAUCUCUCCAGCCCAAAGGAAAGUCUGUUUGCUGUUUACUGUAGUGCUAAGUGCUGGCCCCCAAAAUCUGGAGUUUGCAAGUAGAUUCUGGGAACUUGCCCCCAGUUAAUUCUGAUUGGUAAAUAAAGAUGCCAGCAGCCAAUAGCUGGGAAGAAGAGACAUAGGCAGGGCUUUGGUUUCCUGGACAAGAGACCACGAGGAAGGAAGAGAGCCUUAUGACCUAGAAGAGUGUGCAAGAGAGAGACAAGAAUGGCCAUAGGAUAGAGAAGCAAGAAGAGUGUCCUGGUCCAGGAGAACGUGGCCCAGAGGGCUGACUAAUUGAAGUUAGGAACAUAGAAAUUAGUAAGUAGUAACUCAGAAUUAUUGGUACGAGGUAGACGCUAACAGCAUGGAGGGUAGGCAGUUAAGCUAUUUGUAAAGCUAUUAUAAAGUGUCUCUCUCUCUCUCUCUCUCUCUCUCUCUCUCUCUCUCUCUCUCUCUCUCUCUGUUUUAUCCAGGAACAUAAAUGGUCAAAGGCAGGAAGGAACCACACCAGGAUUUAUUAAAAUAUUCAUACUACAAAUGGCACCUUAAACCCACUUUAAAAAAAGGUAAUUAGAGAUUCACGAAUGGAAAACACAUUCUGCCCCUUUAAGAUUAGGAGGAAAGGAGAAUCAGUUUCUUAGCUGAGCCUCAUGGUUUCUCCCCAACUUGUGCAGGGACUAGGACAAAAUUCAUGCUAAAUUGGCACGCACAAUUCUUGGAUUUACGGCGUAAAACUAAGACACAGCUGUACCCCCAAGACGACCCAAGCACACUGGGCAGGAGGCUAGGGAUUCAGCCUGAGGUUUUCUCAAAUGCUCUUAAGUUUUGGCUGAGAGCCUAAGCCAUGGAGUGGGGAGCUCCUGCAGGCUAUGCAGAGAGCAGGCCUAAAUACGAUAGGAAUGGAAAAAUUAAUGGAAAUUUAAAAUAUCAAUGCUAUAUAAACAGUACUUCUUUGAACAUGACUCUAUGAGAAUUCUAGGAUCACUUAGCAUGGCAUUGGCCCAUAUUUUGGCCUAAGAAUAGGUUCAUACAGAAAGUAGAAGGGAAUUUGAUUGAGGUUAAAUACAUAGGAAAGGAUGUUACUUCACUUCAUAGAAAGAGGAAGGGGAUAGAAUCAUAUAUCCCCAGAGAUAUUACUGUCUCUAGAGGGGAGGAAUAAAUGAAACUUGCCUUGAUUGCUUUAGAGGAUAGAAGGAAGAAUGAUGGUAAUUGCUUUAAGUGUUUUUUUUUUUUUUUUUUUUUUUUUUUUUUUGGUUCUUUUUUUUCGGAGCUGGGGACCGAACCCAGGGCCUUGCGCUUCCUAGGUAAGUGCUCUACCACUGAGCUAAAUCCCCAGCCCCCCUUUAAGUGUUUUUAAGUAAUAAUUUGUACUGGCUGGUUUUGUGUGUUGCCUUGACACAAGCUGGAGUUAUCACAGAGAAAGGAGCCUCCCUUGAGGAAAUGCCUCCAUGAGAUCCAGCUAAAAGGCAUUUUCUUAAUUAAUGAUCAAGGGUGGGAGGGCCCAUUGUGGGAGGUGCCAUCCCUGAGCUGGUAGUUCUGGGUUCUAUAAGACAGCAGGCUGAGCAAGCCAGUAAGUAACAUCCCUCCAUGGCCUCUGCAUCCACUCCUGACCUGCUUGAGUUCCAGUCCUGACUUCCUUUGGUGAUGAACAGCAAAGUGGAAGUGUGAGCUGAAUAAACCCUUUCCUCCCCAGCCUGCUUCUUGGUCAUGAUGUUUGUGCAGGAGUGGAAACCCUGACUAAGACAUAACUGCUUUAAAUAGUUUUAAAGAGAUACUAAUCUCCAUAGAAGGGAGGAAUAAAUAAAAAAUUGCUUUAAUUGUUUUAAGGAUAGAAGGGAGAAAGAAUGGUAACUAAGUGUUUUUAAGUAUAAAUGGAAGAAUAAAGAAAUCUAGGCCUUUGAUCUCAAAUGUAGGAAACAAAGGCAUGGAGAUACCGAGAAACCCUAUCUCAAUAAAUAAUAUUAAAUAUUUUAAUUGUUUUGAGUUGUUUUAAUUAUCAAAAUGAAGGUGGUUCAUAGCUUGCUGGUAUUAAUGGCAUUAGUAAUCCUCUUGGAGGGAGGUCAGAGUAGAGCUGGCCUAAAAAGAGGCUGCUGAAUGGAGUCGAUUGCCUUCCUGUUGCCUGACCAAGGACAUGCUAUUUUGGGAGAGAGGCUCUGUAUUGUGUUGUUAGGAAAGAAAAAAAGUUACUUUCAAAGGGAUAUGGAUCGGAUAUGAUAGAGGAAGACCCCCUGAAGACCUUAGCUACGCACAGAAAAAUUCAAGAAGACCAAAUAUGACAGGUAACAUGAACAUGAUCCCUCCACCGGGGAGCAGCUCUGAAACUGGCUGAGACAUAAAAACGCCUCUAGCCAAAUGAAUCUUGUUAGUUACGGGAUCCUAAAAUUCGCCUGCCAUCCUUCCUUAUGGCACCACUCAUAAAAACAGACAGUUAUCUUUCACUUGCUCGAAGAGCAAAAAUUCAUCCUUAACUGAUCUGCACACCUUGCACAAUCUAUACGAAUAUCUUUACAGAACUAAAUAUUGGUUGUAAGAUUCACAUGUUGUGAAUGAAACCCCAUUUCUGACAAGAUUCAUCCUCAGGGAUGCUGAGGUGACCUGCUGUUCCAGCUCCCUGUCUGAUCCUGCCUCACCCCAGGCUGUUUCCCGAGACUGUGCUUCCAGAACAGCUUCAGGAAGUCUGCUAAUCCCAAUGACCUCAGUUUAUCCAGCCUUUCAGAUGGCUCUAGUGAGGACUUCAGUUAAGCCCUGAACUUUCUCACCAUACAGAGACUGGACAAUAAUGCUAAAACUAGCUUUCUUAAGUCUAAUCAAUUUUUAAAAUUUUCUUGCCCCUCCUCUCUCCUAAAAAAAAAAACAAAAAAAGGAAUUCUUCACUCUCAAGUCAGCAGGAAGCAGUCAAAGAAAAUUGAUGUUUCAAUCCCUUAAAUCAGGGCAUCUGGUUUUGGUUAUUGUUUAUCAAUUAUAGAUAUAUUGUCAUUUUAAGGGAUAAUUUGGAAAAAAUUAUAGUUUUGGACAGAGGAAACUAAAUAGGUUAGAUUUGAGGAUUUCUAUUUUUCCUCUUUCUUAGGUAAAGGGAAGGGAGUUGACAGGAAAAAAGGGUGUUAGAGUAAUAUAGACAUUAGAUAAACGGGGAUGGAUUAUUAAUGUUACUCUUUUUUUUUUCUUUCUUUUUUUCGGAGCUGGGGACCGAACCCAGGGCCUUGCGCUUGCUAGGCAAGCGCUCUACCACUGAGCUAAAUCCCCAACCCCUUAAUGUUACUCUUAAACAAAGCAUUUUAGAGCCAUAAUCUUACAUUGGUAGAAAUCUUUGUAUUUUGAUGCGGAAUUGAGAUUAUAUAUAAAGAGAAAGGGGAUAUAAUUAUAAAUCCAAAGAGAUUGAUCUCAAUAGAGGGGAGAAAUAAUGGUGACAUAUAGCCUAUAAGGCACCUCCAUAAACUCACUGCUUCACAAAGUUGGACUUUAUUAUUUAUUAGUGAUUUAAUGAUUUAUUAUCCCAUCUGUCAUUGUGGUUCCCUGACUGGGAUGAGUGGGUACCUGGUCAUGUCUCCGCUGAAAUCGUGUCACUUCAUAGUAGCAGUAUAUAUGUACCCACAUGUAUAUUGUAUUACUUCUACCAUUACCCCUGUUUUCAAGAUGAAGUAAUGGGAUUCAGAGAGGAGACAAUAACUCUCAAGCCAGGCUACAACUAUGUGAGGCAGGAAGCAUGCAAGCCCAGGCCUAGUGUCUAGAAACAUCUUGCCUAGGUUUGUGGAAGUGUCUCAGUAACAGGAAGCUAGCUUAGCAUAAGCCCAUAAAGCCCUGGUUCUGCAAAUACAAAGCCGUCUCUCCCAGUGAUAGCAUGUGAUCUCUUAAAGCAGUGCAAAAUAAACACGGCACUUGAAAAUUUUACUUUCCUCAUUAACACUUGGUCUUAGUGUUUCUAUAGCUGUGACGAAACGCCUUGAGCAAAAGUCAGUUGGGAAGGAACUGGUUUAUCUGGCUUACACUUCCACAUCACAGCUCAUCAAAGGAAGUCAGGACAGGAACUCAAGCAUGUGGGAACCUGGAGGCAGGAGCUGAUGCACCACGGAUGGGUGCUGCUUACUGGCUUGCUCCUCAUGACUUGCUCAGCUUGCUUUCUUACAGAACACAGGACCACCAUCCUACAAUCAACAACUGAUUAAGAAAUGCCCUACAGGCUUGCCUACAGCCUGAUCUUAGGGAGGCAUUUUCUUUUUUUUUCUUUUUUCUUUUCUUUUUUUUUUUUUUUUGGUUCUUUUUUUUCCGGAGCUGGGGACCGAACCCAGGGCCUUGAGCUUCCUAGGUAAGCACUCUACCACUGAGCUAAAUCCCCAGCCCCAGGGAGGCAUUUUCUUAAUUGAGGUUCUCUCAUUUCAGGUGACUUUAGCUUGUGCCAAGUUGACAAAACCAUCCAGGCACACACUUUGACCCCAGUAAGUCAUGGAGGCAAACACGUAACGGCAAACACAUAAGUAUGUUUAUUGUUGCAAUGUGUGUCAAAAGACUUGUGGCCUUCUGAUGACCUAUAUCAAAUGAGCACUGUGAGUUAGACACUGCUCUUUUUACCUCCAUUAACUCAUUUGUGAGGACUUGAUGAGGUGCAUAGCAUUACUCUCCUUUUACAGGCUAGUAAACCAUGGUACAAAGGUGUAAAUUCCUCACCAAAGAUCACACGGGUAGAAAACGGCAGUUAUAAUUCGAAUUUGUCAGCUUGGAACUAGUACCUGUGUGCUACACUGUCUCGCUUAGAAAUAUAUUUGAUAAAGUUUUAUCAUAUAUAACACUCACAAUAUACAACAUAUUUAUAUCAAUAUUCAUGUAAAUAGGUUAAUACAUACACAUAUGCAUUAUUCUUGGCAUAUAUGACUUUUGUUUCCUGCCUAUGGUCAUACAAGAAUUAUUUGCUCACUUUAGACAUUCUUAUUCUGAAGAACAUUUAGACCUCUAACUAUUCAGAGUCCCGAAGAGGUCAUGGGUGUGUCCUCUGGGUGCCGUUUCCCCCUUCAGAAAGAAGAGUUCAAAUGGAAAUAAAAACAAAACCAAACCCACACUAGGAUUCUAGUGCAAGUCAAAGAGGGAGGGUCAGCCAAGAAAACCCGUGUUCCUUGCAAACUUGGCGGAUGGGAAGUUGGCGUAGAGAUUAAGAACCGGGCCUUCAUAACUCUGUGCACUGGGAGACUGGUACCCUUCAGGCACAUUUCAAACUGUCCCCACAGCUCCCUGGUGCCUUUACAUACCAACUAUGGUCUACUGCAAGCCCAGAAACAAGCUGUUUUUUUUUCUCAACCUAGUUUCUCUGAUUAUGCUGUACUGAGUUAGAGAAUGCAAGUUCAAGUUGCCGUAGAUUGGGUCUGCGAUGUACCCCAAACGCCCAUGAGGAAGAGGCUCAGUCUCCAGCUUGGUUCUGGCAUGGGAAUGGGAGAACUUCUAACCAGCGAGGACUCCUGGAAGGUUUUGGUUAUUGGAGACAUGCCCUCAAAGUGGGCUGUGGGACUUUGGUCUCCUCCUUUCCUGCACUUCCUGUCCCAGGCAUGAGGGAGUACUUUUGCUCACCUACGAGAGGCCACUACAGUUUAUUACCCAGCAAAGCAUGAAUUGAAACUUCUAAAUCUUGAGCCAGAAGCCACUGUCCAUCCUUAUGAGGUAGUUAUCUCAGAUGCUUGAAUUUUCUAUGUUUUCAUGCCAUAAUUUUCUUUACACAUAACUUAAAUCCCAUCACCAAGAGUCGGAAAUUUCUAUAGAAUUUCAUCGUGAAGUUCUCAUUACAUUUAGUAAUCCUUCUUUAAAGUCACAUUGUUCCUGACAUCCACUCUUACCACCUCUCUCAAAUAACAGGGUCCCAGGCCUUUGGUGGAUACACACGCCGUCUGGAAUAAAAUUAGGAUCCUGGCUUUCUUGGCAGUUGGGUUCAGCAGAUGCAGGCCUUCCAGCCAGUGAAAUAGAAAGGCAUGUGCACUGUACACACCUCCCUGUACGGACUGGGAAAUGAUUUAUUUCUUAUUUUUUUAAGAUCUAUUUAUUUUACAUAUAUGAGUACACAGUAGCUGUCUUCAGACACCAGAAGAGGGCAUCAGAUCCCAUUACAGAUGGUUGUGAGCCACCAUGUGGUUGCUGGGAUUUUAACUCAGGACCUCUGGAAGAGCAGUCAGUGCUCUUAACCACUGAGCUGUCUCUCCAGCCUCGGAAAUGAUUUCUUUUUUUCAAUUUUCAUUUUUGAGACAAUGAGUCUCUAUGUAGUCCUGGAUUUCCUGGAACUUACUAUGGAAGACCAGGCUGAUCUCUAACUCACAGAGAUCCAUCUGCCUCUGCUGCCUGAGUCCUGGGAUCAAAGGCAUGUGUCCCCAUACCCUGUCUGGGAAGUGUUCUAAGAGGCAUCCCUUUUGCUAUCUGGAAUGUGGAUUUAAUGGCCAGAGCUUCAGGAGCUAUUAGAAUGAAAACCAUAUAUUACAGAGAGACUAGUUAGAGGGAGCUGGAUUCUGGACACACAGCUCAUAAGCUGUGGCUUGUGUCCCACCCAGCCUAAUUUUCAGGGCCAUAGUCUUGAGAGGUGAUUAGGUAAUGGAGGCUCAUUAGUUCUGAGGGUUAUUGUAAUAACCAUAGUGGAAUAGCUUUGUUAUGAAAGUGAGUUUCUCUGUGCUCUCUGCCUUCCACCUUCUGGAAUCGUGUAGCAUUAGAGUCUGCUCUUCAGUUUUGGCCUUCGCAGGCAAUAGAACCUUGAAAGAUAAAUUCCUGUUCAUUACAUAUUAUCCAACCUCGGGGAUUCUGUUAUAGCCGCACAAAACAUUCCAUGUAAACCAUAUGCACAGAUGUAAACAUCGCAUCACGUAAGCCCUGGACCGAUCCUUUCUAGUCUUUUCCCUUUUCUUUUGUCAGCAGGAAAACAUUCUACCACAGAGUUCUCUGGGCUACAUCCAUCUUUCUUCUUACCUUUUGUCUUGAGUCAAUGUCUCACCAACCCGGCUCAGUUUAAUUUGUGAGCCUCAGUGGGAUGUACAACCAGAACCAUAGGCCUUGCCACUAGGCCUGGCUAGUUCUAGGCCUUUGAAUGUAAGAGAGGAACUUUUAUUCUGAUUGUUUUUUUUUUCUGUUUCUUGGAGCCAAAGAUAAUUUCAUCUCAUACACGUAAUACCUUCCAAAGCAAAAUUAUUUUUUUCCAGAGUAACAGAUGCCAAGCAGGGGAAAAGGCUCUGAGUUAGCCUUCUAAUAUUAAGACAUUUAUGAAGAUGCUCUUGACUUCAUAGUCUUUUAUAAAAAUGAUUUGUGUUUUAUGUGCACGAGUGUUAGCCUACAUGCAUGUCUGUGUACCACGUGCAUGCCUGGUAUCUGCAGGGGCCAGGAGAGGGUGUUGGAGCCUCUCGAACUUGAGUUACAAAUGGUUGUGAGCUGUCAUGUGGGUGCUGGGAAUAGAACCUGGGUCUUCCGUAAGAGCAGAGAGUGCUCUUAACCACUGAGCCUCCUCUCAAGCCCGGCUUUACAAUCUUGGAGGGAGACUGAGCAGCCCUACUUACCUCGAUGGUGAAGAGCACAGGCUUCAGAUCCUCGUAGGUGAUUUUUAUCUUCUUAGUUGCUCGUUUUGCCUGAACAUCAGUCUCUGCUACCACAGCACAGACGACCUGGCCCACACAGAGAACCUGUAAAGUACAUACGUAAACAAUACCUGUAAAGUUCAUACAUAGACACACAGCACCCAUAAAGUACAUACAUAGACACGCAGCACCCAUAAAGUACAUACAUAGACACACACCACCCGUAAAGUACAUACAUAGAUAUGCAGUACCCGUAAAGUUCAUACAUAGACACAUAGCACCCAUAAAGUACAUACAUAGACACGCAGCACCCGUAAAGUACAUACAUAGACAUGCAGUACCUAUAAAGUACAUAUGUAGACAUGUAGCACCUGUAAAGUACAUACAUAAACAUAGAAUACCAUGAAGUGGGUAGAGGGAGAUGGCUCUCAGUGUGUAACAGGGCUUGCUGUGCAAGCCUGGGGACCUGAGUUCAAUCCCUGGGACCCACGUAAAGGUAGGUGGAGAUAGAAACAACUCCAUUAGGUUGUCCUCUGACCUCCACAUGUCCCACACUCCCCACUAUACUAAUGAUAAAUGAACCAAUUUAAGUAAUUUUAAGGCAAUAGAACAGAAGCCAAGCUCAAUCUCUCCAGUGGUCGGUGUCUUAGAUGUCAUUGUUGAAAAGAAAUAGAUACACUGGAGUUACAUGGGCUUGGGUACAGAUUUUAUUUAUUUUUUUUUUUUGGUUCUUUUUUUCCGGAGCUGGGGACCGAACCCAGGGCCUUGCGCUUCCUAGGUAAGCGCUCUACCACUGAGCUAAAUCCCCAGCCCCUGGGUACAGAUUUUAAAAUAGUGAAAAAGGAAGGUGGGUUGUGCCUAGUGAGUGUGAGACCCUUGGUUAGACCGACAGCACCACACACAAAAAGCGCAUAUUAUAGAUUUUGCCCCUGGCCACUGUAUUCAGUAUUCCCAGAUGUUGACUGUAACAUGAACCGGCUGAGUCUCCUGCAUGGUGUGUUCACAUGAAUUCUUCGUCCUGUCAUUUAAGAGCUUACAGUGUAUGUGGUGGCCCCUGCUGUGAACUGACAUACUAGUCACUCAACAACUGAGUGUGUUGAAGCACCUAUGAGAUAGCAUUUGGAGACAGGACCUUUACAGAGGUUAUUAACACAGAGUGGGGCCUUUGUACAAUAUGACUGGUGAGCUAAGAAGAGAGUGAACAGAGAAAAGGCACCAUGAAGACAAGGAGCACCAGUCAGCAAGCACAGAGACUGCAGAAGCCAGACCUGCUGACACUGGCUUUGGCUCAGCUCUAGAAAAUCCAUUUCUGUUUCAGCCUCGCAUAUGCAUUUUUGCAACUUUUUAAUGUUUAUGUACAUAGAUGGUUUGCCUGUGUGUAAGUCUGUGCACCACAUGCAUGCAGUGCCCACAGAGGCCAGAAGAGCAUGUUGCCUGGGGAACUGGAGCAACAGACAGUUGUGAGCUGUCAUGUGGGUACUGGGACUCGAACCCAUGUCUUCAGGAAGAGCAGACAGAGCUCUUAACCACUGAGCCACGUCUCCAGCUCCAUGUUCAGGCAGUUUUAUUAUAGCAGCCCCAAUAGCCUGAUAUAUGACAGCCAACCUCUUUUGAUGGACUCAACAAAAGACCAAAACCAAAACCAAAAAAACCCAACCAAACAACCAAAAAACUCAGUAAUGUCUUCCACAGCUGGAGGAGAAAGUGUGUGGUUGAUUGAAAUGUGACAGUAGUGACAAUAGCCAGCACAUCAUGUGCCAACCAUUGUCCUAGGCACCUCGUGUGUGGUCACUUGUCUAACUCCUAUGAUACAAUGGUCAUUCCUCCUUUAGAGACGGUAAACUCCCAGGGCACACAGUUGGUUUUAAUGCGGGAACAGAAGCCAGCUGCUCUGGCCCCAAGUCAGGGUGGUCCAUAAAUGAUUGCUGCAUUUGAAUCAAAAGCCCAGAGACAGCUAAGACAACUUAUUAAAAAUGGAGCAUGUGAAGGAAAGAGAGAACAGGUUUGGGAAGGGAGAGAGUCCAUGUAAAUAAAAGGGCAGGGCUGUGGUCCACUACCUCCUUUCUAGAUCUUUCUGGGACAGUGGUUCUCAACCUGUGGGUCUCGACCCCUCCAGAGGUUGAAUGACCCUUCCAUGGGGGUCUCAUAGCAGCUAUUCUGUAAUAGCAGAUCCUGUAUAGCAGCUAUUCACAUUAAUAUUAAUGACAGUAGCAAAAUUACAGUUAUGAAGUAGCAAUGAAAUAAUGUUAUGGUUGGAGUCACCACAACACGAGGAGCUGUGUUAAAGGGCUGCAGCGUUCCACUGUUGUAGAGCAUUCUAUCCUGGUAUAGAUCAUUUCCUUGUAUUUACUCUUCAGAUAAGGGCAAAUGAACUCAGAGGUGCACAGUGGCUGAUCAGAUCUGUGUCAGUUUUUAUGUUAUUUCCUAACUUCAGAAAAGCAAGGUAGAAUGGUGGCACUUGGGGAAAGAGGAGGAGCCAGGACCUUGGCACCAUCGGCAUCUCAGUGGUAGAAAACUCUAGGAGGCUAGGUUAGGUGACUGACAGGGUCCUUAGGUGACCUGCAUAGGUGUGUGGGAAAGCAUGUCCCACUCAUACCUUAUCUACAGCCAGUAAUUUGUCAUCCUCUUCACCAUUGUUGCCCGGGAUGUCUUCAGCUGUUAUCACAUCGACCACACCAGGCAGGUCUAGGACCUCAGAUGAGUCGAUCGAUCUGGACACACGGAGACGUUUAAGGAGACCUGUGCAAACGCUGAGGGCCUCAAACCCAGAAGUCCUGCUGCAGGGCCAGGAUGCAACCCUCUAGCUGCCGGAGAGGGGCAGAAAGGCCGGUCCUCUCAGGAAAUGUACGGCUGUAUUUAUUUCCUAUUCAGUAACGAGGGUGCUGAUUCAGUGGUAUCUGAGUCAUGUGUGAGGCUUCGAGGAGAUGAGGCAUUAUGACCUCAGAGAGUAAACAAGAGGCCCGACAGUUUUUACUUUUUAGUUUGUGAGAUGAGGUCUCAUGCAGCCCACAUGGGCCUGGACUUAGCUAUGUGAGGAUGACCUUGCACUGGUCCUGUUGCCUCGGCCUCCUGAGUGCUGGGAUUACUGUGGUUUAGAGCUGUGCUGGGUUUAUGUGGUGCAGGGGAUUGAACAUGAGCGAGUGUUUCAGCACUCUACCAACGGACGCGCAUCCCCACCUCCUGUGCUUUUGUUUGUCUGUUUGUUUUCAGGAGAGUCUAUUCUAUAUAUUUUCCUUCCUCCUGGAGCAUUUCGGAUCAGGGCAUUGCAGAAAAGGGCACAUUCCCGUGAGGCAUCCCCAGGUAUAUUGUAAUGUCAAAAUUAACCUGUAAGCCCCACCUGCUCAAGAACCAGGUAACUUCUUGGAAUGCUGGGAGUUGUAGUUCUUGGAAAAUAAUAAAGCCUCAUGGGGAAGUACAGAGGCCUGUAGGUUUGUCUUUUUAAGGUGCUACUAUACCUUAGGGCCAUUUUCAGGUGGGAAAUUCCAGGGAAUGGUCCUGACCAAAGCCCAUCUCUUGGUCAAUAUUUAAUAUUUAGUAAAGCUUGUUUUAAUUUGGCCCAAAAUGGUAGAAUUAAUUUUUCUCUGUUCAUGACUCUUUGGAUUAACUGAACCUUUAAAAGGUUCUUGGAAGUUUUACUUACAUGAUUCUUGCAUGAGCUCUGGUACUGGUCACUAAAGCCAUGAAAAGUUCUUUAUCCACCCUGGGGAUGUCAUCACAAAAUACAGCUUCCCCCGUGGCAUGUUUAAGACCUGACAGGUGCAUGAUGGGACGUCCAACUGGAUCUUGGAGAGGUUGGUGAGAAUUCACUCUCUACAGAAGAAGAGAGAGUUAGCCCAGAAAACUUUCAUCUCAGGAGGCCUGGCUGACUCGGGGAGGAGGCCCAGGACAGUCCCUUUGGGCCACAAACAUCAGAGCGAGUCAGAGGAUGAACAUGACCAUUUCACGAUGUAACUAGAGUGAGGCACUGUCCUCAUCCUUCCAAUGACAGACCUGCUUGUGUGCAUCAUUCUGAUGAGGCCUAAGUGACAUGGCACGACCGCAGAGGGAGACCAAAGUCUGUGUGAGAAGACUUGACAGGGGGCAGAAAGCCAGGGGAAGUUGAAAGAGUUUAUUCUGGAGCUUUUCUCUGCGUGUUAGGUGUCUAACCAUGGACAAAUGGCUAACAGAGGUGCCCAUUUAACAUAGCAAAGCAGACUCUGGCCACAAGACUCCCUCACCCCCACUCACAAGUACCUGUACAGAGUCAUGCUGGCUGGCGUACCUCACUCUACUCUCGCUUCUCCGGCCUCUGAGCUUUACUUCUGUUUCCUAGCUUCUCUGAUUUCUACAUAAUCUCAGCCAUCUUGGAUUUUGUUCUCUUGGUCUUUGGCUUCUUUCUUACCCCCCUGCCCCCAUACCUCUCCCCUCCUCUCUCUUCUUUUGAUUUCCCCCACCCCUUCUCACGGACAGAUUCAGUCUUGACCCUUCCAGAUGCCUCUGGCUGUUCUUUCCCUCAUGUCUACAAUAAACCCUACCUCUUCAACCACACCUAGGAGAGCUGUGUCCUCAUUUUUUCAUUCAGUGUGUGUGUGUGUGUGUGUGUGUGUGUGUGUGUGUUGGGGAGGGCAUGCACCAGCAAGAACAGCUAUUUUCUAAAUUGUUCUUCCAGAAGGGUGAGCUUAGUCACUUGCAGGCCUCUUGUUUGCUGACUGGAGAUUAAACACGUGCAGUGUGGGCUAGAGACUGAACCUCUGGGCUUAGCUACUCUUCUGGGUAGGUAUUUAACAAAUACCCAAAGAUAUCACUUUAGAGUAAUUAUGACUCUGUCUGCAGAUCCGUCUGGCUGUGCAGCCUUGUGUCCUCCAGCUCCAGCUCUUGGGAGCCAGAGGCUACUGACUUGGAUUAGGAACAAUUAGAAAGAACUAAAAGCCACCCAUGUGAAGAGCUUGCCUGGUCCACACAGUUCCCUCUUAUCUCUCAGUGUAGGUUUCAGUGAAUCAAACUCACUGACCUGGUAUGUUUGGACUCCCUGGGGUAGCGUGACCUGGAAAUCUCCCAGAGAGCUUCGGGACCCGUCUGCGAUCUCUGGAUAACGCUGGCUGUCCUGGAAUCACUCAGCACAAAGAGAGAGACUGGUUAGUCUGGUUCAGGUUGGGUUUGGAUUAUGUAAAAACUUCUCCUAAUGUGCUGAGGGUGGCCUAGUUACCCUGCCAGGGUUUCACUUUUUAUGACCCUGGUGCCCUUCCACCCUCCCAUCCAUGACAGGGCUUGGGUGACUGGUUUGAAUCUUAUCCUCAAGUCCCUGGAGGGAUAGGUCUGAUAGUGAACUUAGAGGUGGGGGUGGAGGGGUGUUGCUAGGAAGAACACUCUAGGCUGGAGAAGCCAUCCCAGAACGAGCCAGAGCCCACGGCUCACAAAAGGGAGAAAGCUUGGUUAAGGCCUUCUGACCAGGAGCAUGUGUGAGAGCAGCUCUCACUGUCCUCCAAUGCACUUACGGUGGAUUCAGGGAGCAGCCUCUUGUCAGCCUUCAGUUCCUGUAGAACCUCCAGGUAGAACUUGAAGAAGAAGCUGACAAUGAGAGUCCUCCUGAAUUCCACUUUGCCUCCCACGGCUGAGCCUGGGAGGGAGACUUCGUCCAGGAGCAGUCUGCAAGCCUCGUCUAGCAGCAGUGCGUUCCAACGCCUGGCACAGUGUGAGGUGAGAAGAAUCAGUUAAAGGCUGUUUGAUUGCAGGGGUUCCCUUAGAAUCACGAUUAACAAGGGACUUUGGAAAAAAAAUCAAAGCCUGAGAGUUGCUCCAGGAGGCACAAGAAUCGUGUCUGGGAAUGGGGCCUUCUCCAUUGCAGCAUAAGUCAUGCAUGUUUUAAAGUCAGAAUAUUCUAGAACCAUUCCAGAAUAUUCUGGAGCAGAACAGAAUUCACACUUGGAUGCCCUACCAGGGAAGAAAUAGCGUGAGCCCUAUGAUAGGAGCAUUGGGUGUUCUGUGGAGAAGCCUGCUGGGUGUUCAUUUGCAGGAGAAAAGGGGGCUGAAUGAGAAAACACAGGCUGUUUUUGUUGUGUCCCUUGCCCCAAAAGUGGCUUAAUUGAAGCCAAAUAAUGUGGAAUUAACUGAGCAAAACUAAAGAAGGAAGAAGCAGUGAUCUUCUUUGAGCCUGAGUUCUGUCAUUCCAGGGUAACAGUUGUCAACGGUUGUCAGGGCCAAUUGCUCUUCCUGUCAUUGAGGUUCCCUUUAAGGCACAGGACUCACCGGCCCAGGAGCUGCUGGCAGGAUCUGUGUGCACUGACGGUGGUGGGCCCCACCCCUCCAUAGGCAAUGCUCAGCUCCUCAAUGAUGUCUGUGCCUUCUUUGAACAGGACUCUCAUGCCAGCAUUUACAUCAGGCAAGGCGUUCUGAUGGCACUGGGCCUGCCGGAAGGCAGACACAAACUCCCGCUGAGGAGACAGAAACCACUGGGGGUCAUUUGAUAUAUCAGAAUAAAAAGCUAGGUUUCUUCCCAGGUCCUCUGCAAGAGCAACAAGUGCUCACAGGGCUGAGCCAUCUCUAACUCAACCGUUUUCCUAUUUGCUACCUUUGCAUGCCAAAGUUUCUGUCCCACAGGAAGGACUACCAAAGAUCAACCAUUGCUGAAAUGAAACUUAAGACUUCAUUACAACCUGUGAGUGUUGUGUGUGUGGUGCGCGUGUGUGUGAUUGUGCUUCUUUUAGAGACAAGCACAGCUUUUGGGAAGAGGCCUAUGGAACAGAGGGCUGAAGGCCACUUCCAUAGCUAGCUGGGUGGCCACAUCCACUUUGGUAUCCCUGGCCAGUGAACAUCUGGAGGCCUUGUGUUUCUAUGAGUUGUAGGGGUUGGCAGAAAUUCGGGGCUGGGAAAGCCAAGUCUGGGGCUCUGGCUUCCUGUGUGUCAGGUAGAGAAGCUCCGUCUGCAGCUGGAGAGCCUUUACCCAUGGAAACAAGCGGGCUUGGGAGCAUGACCACAGGCAGGACAUACCCUACAGCUGCAACAACUACUAAACCCCACGUCCCAGCACCGCUUAUGCAGGGCAGUCCCAGAGGCUUUUGGUGAACCAGUUUGUAGUGGGUUAGAAACAGUUUUAGGGGCACAGUCACCUUCCUUCCACCUGUCUGCAUAUGGCAGAGAUGACUUCACUAUGGACGACGGGGAGAAACAACUUCAAGGCCACUAACCAGGUUCUUACCUUCUGAGAGUGGGGGAUGUACACCGACCCCAGAAUCUCUUCAGGCUUCAGGUCUUCAUUUGCCAACCCAGCAAGAAAAUGUCCAUUGAGGGGAAUCUGCCUCAGGCCUUCUGUGGAAGGAAAUGCCAUUUCUAUACAACUGAGGGAAAGGCAAGCCUGUUUCACACUUUCAGAGGUUGGCUACCAGAGGAGAAGGCACACAACCUCUGUUCACAGAGACUGAUGCAGAGGUCCCAGUCUGUGACACUGCUCCACGUCCCCUUUCCCUCCACUGUACGUGACAUUUGUUUCCCUGUCAAUGCUCACGCCAUACCUACCAGCCCUGUGGGUUUUCAUCCUUCAGCAGAGGCUGGCUAACUAGAAUGGUGGACAAAGGGUCAAGGCUGAGGUGGAAUUUAAUGCUAACACUGGCUUAACUUCACUGCUAGCACAGUCAUCUGCUUUUCACACUUGGUUUUGUGUUCUGGACGUAAGCACACCUUUAAACAGCUUGUCAAAUCUCCCUUGUGCUCAGUUGUCCCCUCUUGGGUCCCGAGCAUUAUCCUCUGGCUUUAAAACAUGGUUUGCCCUUUUAAAGGCAUAGGCCAGUGUUCUCAACCUGUCCUAAGACUAUUGGAAAAUACAGAUAUUUACCAUUCAUAACAGUAGCAAAGUUACAAUGAAAAUAAUUUUAUGUUUGGAGGAGGGGGGUCACCACAACACGAGGAACUGUACUAGAGAGUUGCUGUGUUAGUAAGGGUUGAGAACCACUGGUCUAUGUCCUGAAAAGGUCAAACUACAGCCCAGGGAUGGCAUGGAUUCUGUGCUGACGUGGUCGUAAUUGGGUGGAAAAUCCCAAAGUCCCUGCUGAUCCCUGCCUUGCUGCUAAGUCCGUGAGCUGAGAUCCUGCCUUCUCUGGAGGGAUGGGGUUCUGCUCCAGCUUUGGUAGAGUUUGGAAAGUAGAAACCGUAAGUCAAAGGCAACUACAAAUAUCCCAUAGGACAUUGUUACCAUUGUCAUAGCAGAAGGCCCUGGGAAGGGACCUCACCAUCUUGGUAUCCCCAGAGCCUUGACCUCUUGACUGUUUUGUGUAUACUGGGGUCAUCCCAAGCUGCAGGCCUCGUGUCUUCAGAGAGGAGCCUGGCUCAGUUAGUACACUUAACCUUCUAUGCCCUCCCUCCUAACAGAAACCAAUCAGGGAGUGGGGCCUUAGCACUUUUUUUCAGCCCCCAAAUCUUUCCCCAUCACCUCUGAGCUCUGAGCAGUGAGCGACAGCAUUAGGCACUUCAGGGAGCCUAGAUGUCCAUGGGGGCAGAGGCUGUGGCAGCUUUCUCUGUUUCCCUAUGCCUGGGAGAUGGCAGUGAGUCAAGAUCUGCUGAGGGAGUGGGAGGGACAGAGGACAGAGUAUUGGAUGGUAGUAGGUAUUCAGGGAGGAAAGAGGAGGGGCAUUUCAGAGCUGGAAGCCCUGGAGACAGGACAGCAUGGUUUGGGGAGAUGAACGGAAGUCAGACUAACAUUGGUCCACAUCUGCUAAGGUUUCAGCCCUAGUCUCUCUCAAAAGUUAGGGCCAGAAAGAUGGCUUGGGAGAAAGAGCAAUUGUAGCCAAGUCUGAUGACUUGAGUUCAAUUCCCCAGGACCCCUUUGGUGGAAAGAAAGAACGGUCCACUUGUGCACUGUGAUAUGCAUCACACACACACACACACACACACACACACACACACAUACACACACACACACACACACACUCAGACGCACACACAAGGUACAAUACAUUAGAAAAAGAACACCUCAUUCAGCUCACGGAAUUUAACAGGGACUGUAACAAUGAGGUGAUAGCUGGGGAAGCUGUGGUUGAACACUUACCCUGGCCUGAGAUGGAACUCUGGCGUGAGAUUGGGGGGCUGUUUGGGGAUGACUCAGAUUGGAUGUAGAUUGAGGGAGGAAGGCAGGUCCUUUGCUCUCUUAAGCUAAAGGAAGACAUCCUCUGAAACCUACCCACUCCCCACCCCACUCUCUCUCUCUUUUUUUGUUUUUUUGAGACAGGAUCUCUUUACAUAGUUCUGGAACUCUGUAGACCAGGCUGGCCUUGAACUCAUAAAGAUCCUCUUGCCUCUGCCUCAUGAGUGCUGGGAUUAAAGGUGUGUACCACCAAGCCUAGUUCUCACUCACUUUUUAAAAGAAUCUAAUUUUAUUGUUAGUUAUGUACAGUUAUGUUUUAUGAGGUUACCUGCAUGUGAAUGUGGGUGACAUCGGAGGCUAGCGACACCACAUUUCCUGGAACUGAGUCACAGGUGGUCAUGAACUACCUGACGUGGGAGCUGGGAGGGAACUCAGCAACAGCAGGGUACGUUCCUAACUGCAGAUCCACUUCUCCAGCCACGUCGCUUUACUUUGAAAGACUGGGUUUUAAUUUUUGAAAAUGAUAUAUAAUAUAUAGCCACACGUCUCUGUGGACAUGUACCAUGAGCGCAGGUGCCCACAGAAGCUGGGGGCAUUGAGUCCCCCAGGAACCAGAGCUGUAGGCAGAUGUGGGUGCUAGGAACUGAACUCCAGUCCUCUGCAAGAGCAGUGUGUACUCUUAGCCUCUGUGCCAUCUCUGCAGGACCCUGAAACCUCACUCUCUGUUAGCCUUUACACACCAUGCCUGGUCAAGCAAGAACAGUGAACUAACACAUGAGCAUAAGGUCGUGUGUGUGUGUGUGUGUGUGUGUGUGUGUGUGUGUGUGUGUGUGUGUGUGGUGUAUGUGUGUGUGUGUGGUGUGUGUGUGUGUGGUGUGUGUGUGGUGUGUGUGGUGUGUGUGUGUGGUGUGUGUGUGUGUGGUGUGUGUGUGUAUGUGGUGUGUGGUGUGUGUGUAUGUGUGUGUGUGGUGUGUGUGGUGUGUGUGUAUGUGUGUGUGUGGUGUGUGUGGUGUGUGUGUGGUGUGUGUGUGGUGUGUGUGGUGUGUGUGUGUGUGUAUGUGUGAACUGAGAGUUGGUGACCUAGGCUACUACUAAAUGCAGUUCCUUAAGAAAAAUUAAAAAUGUAAUUAAAACCAAAAGGCUCUCUAAAGGCUUCCCAGAGUGCAGCUUACCUUCUGACAGCAGAUUGAGUGUGGCGUUGCCCACAGAGAGGAUGGGAUUCAGGUCCGAGUAGUAAUGCCUGCUUAUAACAUGUCCACCUAAGGACUAGAGAGAGAGCAACAUCUUGGUUAGUGUCUCAGAUCAGGACAUUUGCUCAGAAGGAUCAAGAGGAGUCUUGGCCAGUUCUGUCCUCAGGGGUCGGUAGAUGUUGGGAGGCAUCUCUUAGGCUUGUUUUGCCUGACCCUAUUUCUCUGUUAGAUGUGCUUCCAACCCCCAAACUCAUCUGUCACCCUCUCCUUGACAUCACGUGAGUUUUGGAAAAGUCAACGACAUCUGCUGACUCCCGAGGGCUAAGGAUCUCUGUUACACCACCCAGUGGAUGUGGGAGAAGUGGCAUGCAUGUGUGCUUGGAAAACCUCAUGACAGUGAUUCUCCAGCUGUGGUCUGAACCACAAAGUCAAAGGCUGGCCAGCUUUCUGUAGGUACUAUACUUCUGUUAAUGAAACCUAAGACUAAAUCAGUCUUUUUGACAGGUUACCAAGAAAUUAGCAAAGCCAUGAUGGCCUUUGUGACCCGUGUUCUUGCUUAGCUACUGUGUUGAAUUUCAUCUAGAAUUUUCCUGAACGUUUUACUAAAUGUCACUUAUUGAUUUAAAAGUCUCUGUUAAUUGGUCUGUCACUUUAACCCGUCGAGCUUUCAGCUUAUCCCAUUGUCUCAAUGAUGAGAAACAACUAUGUGCCCAGAGACUGAUAGCCAUGACCCACCGCCAUGUUCCGGAUCUGCUGUCCCGCCAAGCUACGGAGGUGUUUCAGGAGAGCUCGGUAGGUCUGAGUUUUCUCCUCUGGGAGCUCAGAGAUGCUCUCAGCUAAGACGUCUUUCACCUGAGCCAGGCUGCAGCAGGCACCUAUGGUCAGUCCUGGAAAAGCAGGUUGUUUCAUUGGCACGAAGGUGCAGAGCCCACAUCACUACCCUAAGGUCUCACUUAACAUUUGGUUAGUGUGCUGACUGCCGUGUGUGUGUGUGUGUGUGUGUGUGUGUGUGUGUGUGUGUGUGUGUAUGUGUGUGCGUGCACACAACCUUGGUUAGCAAUCCUGGUUGGUUUUAUUUUAUUUUAUUUUAUUUUUUUGGUCAAAGUCUUUCAUUGAUUGAGAGGUCUGCCUGUCUCCACUUGCUGACUAUUGUGAUUACAGCAUGCCCUAUGCCCUAUUUUGCUCAGAUAUUGUAUGUGGAUUCUGAGGAUUAAACUUAGAUUUUAAUGCUUGCAAGACCCAGAUAGCUAAGCCAAUUUCCCCAGUCUUGGCUAUAAAACUUUUAAAAGGCUCCAUGGUGGUCCAUCUCCUGUGCAACUAUGGAUGGGACCCUGUGGCCACACUCGUCUUUGGACAAGUAUGAAGAAGUAGAGAUAGGAGAGAAGAAACGUUGGCAACAACAUGCCAGUGGUAGACCCGGCUAGAACUUCCAUGAUCCUUCUGAAUGACCAUGAUUACUAUGUGGUUAAGGAGAAUAAAUCUGAUAACAUUAUCACAAUAGCAAAGGACAUUUUGAAUCACUAGGUCAUGGUCUAAAAAUCAACAAUUAUUUUUCAGAAGGAAUGGGAUUUUAUGGAACCCUGAAGGACAAACAUGAAUGGCCUUCUCUCUGGCUUUAUGGGUCUCACAGGGUUUAUGGUGAUGCCAAUUUGAAUCUGACAUGACAGCACCACACUAGGACUCCCCGAGAGGAAUGGCUCUUGAUGAUUCUUAGCAAAAAAACAUGUGAACAAUUAACCAAGUGAUGACCAAACCAAGCUUCUAUUUACCAGUGAAGACAUGAAACAGGCUGUGUAUGCCUCUCCACGUAAAUCACCCCACUCGGGGUGACGUUUCAGUAUAUACUGGUUUGAAAACAUUUCAAAAUAUAAUAGCUCAGGAAUUUAGGCCACGAAGACCCAAACAAGGAUCAAAUUAGUAACAUUUUGGCUGCGGAUUUUCCAACUCUGAUAAUCAUAACCUUCAUGAAUCGGUCCAUGAGGGACACUGGCCAAUCAAAACAUACACAUCCCAAGGGAGCAGCUGCCUCAGACUUCCCAUUGGUGGAUGGUGUUGGGUUUGGGGAAGUUCAGGGGUCACAGCAAGGGGCAAAGGGAGCCAUGGGUGAGCAUCCAGGAGGAGUGGGACAGUGCUACUUGCCAACUGGCCCAGAGAUUAAUCAACGUUUUGACAAUAGUUGGAGUUAAACACGUGAGCAAGAACUCCAGGGUUUCUCCUCAGUAGGACGAAAGGGUUCAAAUCAAUAUAGGAAACUAUGUGGCCACUGGAACCACCCAGGUUUGACCUUUUCAAGUAAGUCCUUCACCUCUCUCAAGUUUACAUAAUGAAACCCCAGCACACGGGGUUUGCGUUGAGUUCGCUCGCAGGCUUGGGUAAUAACUGCUGUGAGUCUGAAUUUCAGCAGGUUUCAGGGUGGAUUUUGAAUUUUCUCCUGUUGAUUCAUCUUUGAGAAUAUUCAACACUCCCACACAGCUAUGUUUUAUCAAUAUUAAAUGUUCUUGGCACAAUGCAUACCGUGUCUUUGCCAACACACCCCAUCACCCCCCCCCACUGCUUCACUAACCUCAGCUAACUUCCCGGAUGGAGAAGACCAGUGGCUUACCAUCCACAGGCCCAGAAGAUCUCACCUGAAAUCUGUGACUGAAUGGCCCCUCCUUUUCAGAACGUCCGCCUGGAGUUCUUGCCUGUCUCGGCAUCUCAUACAAGAUAACUCUUAUGAGAUCUGGUCUUUCCUCAGAACCCCUACCUAUGGCCUGUUGAUUCCUUACCUCCAUGGAUUCUAUUGGAAUCAACGGUUCACUUCUGUAAAACCUCUGGCCUUGGCCAGAGUAGCCCAUGCUUGCCACCCCAGCAUGGGGUGAGACAGGCUGAUUUUGAGGCCAGCUUGGCCUAUCUAAGGAAACUGUGCCUCAAAAUAAAACAAAACCGAACCAAACCAAAAUGGUCUUUCUAACGACAAACUAAAGCUCAAACCCAAGGGCUGGAGAGAUGGCUCAGUGGUUAAGAGCGCUGACUGCUUUUCCAGAGGAUCCUGGUUCAAUUCCAAGCACAUGGCAGCUCACAACUGUCUGUACCUCCAAUUCCAGGGGAUCUUAUACCCUCACACAGGCAUGCAUGCAGGCAAAUACCAAGGUACACAAAAUAAAAAUUAAAAAAAAUGCUCAAACCCCAAAUCCCUGCCUUAUCUUUGCAGGAGCCUAGCAGAGCUAAUCUUGUUCCCUGUCAAAUGAUUAUUUCCGAGAAGACCCCAGCCCUCUUUAGGGGAAAAAAAACCAACAAAAAAACCAAAACAAAACAGACACAACAUCUUACAGACAUCUUCAUGCUGUCAUUUAGGUCAGGAGCUUUAUACAGAGACUGGAGUGGCUCAGCGCUGCCUUGUUGGCUUCUUGUUGAUUUUGUUUUUGAGGCAAUCUCUUGUAGCCAAGCCUGGCCUUGAAUUCUGAUCUUCCUUCCCCCUCCUGCCAAGUGUUGGGAUUCUACGCAAGAGGCUUGGAGCCACGGCACCCUGCUCUUGCUUCUGGUUUUAACACAGAUAACAGCAAGAACAAGAACAAGAACAAGAACAAGAACAAGAACAAGAACAAGAAGAAGAAGAAGAAGAAGAAGAAGAACAACAACAACAAAAACCAAUCAAACAAACAAAAAACCCCACUCAGCUUAUCCCUUUGGUGGGCUCUGAGCGCCAUCUCUCUGCUCUGUAUCCCACAAGAGUUCAAACUCUGACCAAGGCCAGGCAGGCCAUCCGGGCCUUUCUUCUGGUGUCUCCAUGUUCACAUUACCUCCUCAUGGUGGUUUUAUAUGAUUUUUGUCUUUGGUCACAACACUUGUUUUGCUUUCUGAUGGACUCAGAAAGCUCUCCGACUUGUAACUCUGCCUCGUGGGCCCACAGCGGCGACCCUGGGACACUUCAUAGUAAUGAUUUUGAAAGAAACCUAGACUGAGCCAACCGUGGACAUAUGAAUGAACAUGCAGGUUAAAGAAACCUUUACAUCAGAAGUGAUUAACGUCCAGAUUUGACCCCGGGGUGUGUGCUGCUGUGAGCACCUCUGGUUUCAGUUCACCCCAGGGGUGCUCGCACUCUGGGCCACAGGAAGUUUCCUGAAGGCCACUAGAGGGCACUCAUGCCUUAGCUUUAGGUGAGUCAUUGUCCGCACAUCGCACAGGCUUCAGAGCCUGGCUGGCUUCCUCUAGCUAGGGGCGAAGCUGGGCAAUUAAUGUGAAAGGCGCUUCCGGCCCGGGGGGUGGGGGGGGGGAGUGGCGAUUCUGAACUGUGAGCGGGUGACCUUGUAACCUGAGGCCCUUGGGCGAGCACAUUUUCUUUUUGCACUGCAGGUUCUUCAUGUAUAGAGGAAAGAGUGGGUUAUGCUGAGAAUUGUGAAUUGUGCUCCGAAAGGCCCUUUUGGGGCCUCAUAUAAGGGCCCCAGAGGCAGGAGGGCUGAGGAAAAGCCACCCUCUCCUAUGGAGCAACCUAUUUCAUUACUUAUUUUAUUUAAAAUUUGAAGACUUAAUGCUGAUUCUUAGUAUCAGAGGAAAGUUGGGAAGUAGGAAGACUUGGCCAGUGCUCGGCCAAAGUGUACGGCUCUGGCUGCAACCUUGGCUUUGGUCCAGAGGUUUGCAGUGAGACACACUUUCACUUCAGAAAAAGUCUGCUGUGUGAGCUGGGCCUCAUAAGUUAGAUGCCCGAGGAUGUUCUGACGAAUUCGAACAGGUGGAGGUUAGUGCAAGGGUCAGUCAUUCCUAGAAGGGCUGGAACUCACCACCACUGGUUUUAGUCACCAUUCUUAGAUCAGGAAUUCUAGCAGGGGACAGGAGAACUGGGUAAAAGUGUCCUUGAGACUUCAUGGCUGGUCCUGAAGGGGAAAAAAAAUGCAUUUUAGAGAGAGUCCUUUAGAAAGGACUUUUCUUUGACAUUGAAAAUUUCUUGUAAAAACAUUCAGAAAUAAAGCUUAAACUAGGAUAAUAAAUGUGUAUGGGAAGGAAAGCAAUGACCAUAUAACCCUCUGCCCAAUGUACAUGUUCACUGACUUAUACUCCUGCUAUGCUGUACCAGCAGGAAAGAAAAGUGUGGGAGGCUCCUAAACGCUCUUCCACAUAGGAACUUGGAGAGGCUUCUACGAGUGUUUGUGACUGGGAGUGGUGGUGCCUUUGAUCUCAGCACCCAGGAGACAGAGCCAGACAACCAUCUGACUCCUGAGGACAUGAAGUGCUUCAUGUGAACAAUACUUUUUAUAUGCAAAUAAGGACGUGCCCUGGAGGUUUGGAUAAUCUCUAUGAGACCUCAGAACCUGAAGUCUUCUACUUAACCAGGGACAGCACAAGGCUGUUCUUGCUAUGUUUGUUUAUUUUUAUAAGGGCAACCACAAUGAUUUGGAACAUUGUUCAUUAUAAUUCACAUGGAACCUUUAUGAAAGGGAAACAGUUUAAGUGCAAAAGGGAUGUGCAGCUGGUUGCUUGGGUUCUCGGGAGAAACAUUCACCAAAGCAAAGCAUGGCCCGAGUCCUGAUGUUUACAGACACCUCAGCGGCACUGCAUAGAUGCUCAACUGGCGGCAAGUGUCUGGACAGCUGGCUAGUCCACAUGACUUCCCUUUGUGCUUCUAGACCACAUCAAAGUUGGUGUAAUGCUCACCUGGUCUUCAGCAAGUCCUGGCAACUCCACUUUGACCACCUGUUCUUCUCAUUCCUACUUCAUAUGAUGUGUCUCCAAUCACCCACCCUUGUGUACUCACCAUGCAGAAGGUUCUGCCACUCUCCAGAAUCGGCCGAUACCCAGUACACCGACAGAGAUUACCUGAUCAGAGGGGAAACAUAGCUGUGAAUUGCUUAUCCCUACUGCUUAUUUUUUUCAGAUUAUUAUUUAUUUAUGGGUAUGUGUGUCUGUAUGUGGAUGCUCUUGGAGGCCAGAAGAAGGUGUUGGAUUUCCUGGGGCUGAAGUUAUGGGUGGUUGUGAGCCACCAACCAAUGUGGGUACUGAGAACUGAACUCCGAAAGAUCAGCAAGCUCUCUUAAUGACUGAGCCAUAUCUCUAGACACUCUACUGGAUUCUUUUAAAGACUGAAAUAGAUCUAAUAGAUUUCAGUUCUGGGGAAUAGAACUUGGGGCCUUGGACAUGUUAGGAUAACAUUCUACUUCUGAGUUAUGACCCCAGCCAUGAUGUUUAGCUAUUGACAAUAACUAUUUCAAAUUAUGUAAGACAGUGAUCUUUUAAAAAAGCAAUUUCCAAGGUGAUACUAGACAAACAAAGCGUCACAGAUGGUCUGCCAGGUGUGUUCCUCAGAGGCUCUUAGGUCGCUGCAUCAGAAUCCCCUGGUUGUAUUCGUUAAGAACAUGAAUUUGACUUUCUGGAACCCAAGCAUCUGGAGACAGGCCCAAGAACCUGAAUUUGAGAGACCAGCGGGCCAUUCCGCUACAUGCUAAAGUCUGGAAUCCUCACGUUUCCAAGGAUGACGGUGAACGUCUGAGAGUUCAUAUGCUAGAGUUCAUCUCUGAUGGCCUGACUAAGAAGUUUGGGCUCAAAAGAUGCGAAAGCUAUAGGUGGAAACACUGAAACAGACAUAGCAAGAGUCCAGGAAAGAAUUGUUUCUUGCACUGACAAUAUUUGGUAGCCUGUUUUUAAAACAUCAGUAGAGGAUAUGCAUUUGCUCAUAGACACGAGGUUAAGACACAUGGAUGGACCAAGGUGUGAAUGUUGAAGGGUCGUCUCUGGGAAUCUAAAAAAGAUCAAAAGGUCUUUUGCUGGCAGGUCAAAUUGGUUGCUAUGUGCAGACAACACAUCAGUGUUCGUUUGCCCCUGUGCGGCUGAGGCCUGCAAGCAUCGUUCUACCUUGUGAGCCCCGGUCAGACAGUCCACUUCAACCUCAGAGCAGGCUGCGCCAUAGACAUAGUACGGGGUUUUUCUUGAUGAUAGGUUGAAGACGGUCCAGAAGAGUCUGGCAGGCAUUCUGAAAAGCAAAUGUUUGGAUUGACAUCAGAACUAAAAGCACAAAAGACAGCAAAACGUUAAUGAUUCAAGAGGAUUUUAAUGGCGGCUGUUUUACAGACUUGUUUUUGUCUCUUGUAGGGUGUCUUAAGUUUGGUUAAGGUGUGGGCUUUCUUCAGAAGAAAAUGUCCUGCAGCACAUUGGUCAGCAGUGUUGUUUAGAUGUGCACUAAGUAGAAGGCUCCUCGGAAUUAUUGUAAUUCUCCGUGUCCAUUUACACAAGGGAAAUGAUGUCGUGCACACCAGUCUAUACACUAAUCAAGUUUAAAAUAACAGCAGUAACUUAAUUGAAAUACUGUUCUCUUCUCUCUCUCUCCCUCUCCCUCCCUUUUUUCCUCCCCCCCCUUUCUCUUUCUUACCAAGACCUCAUUCUAUAACCCUGCUGGCUUUAGACUCAUGGCAAUCCUCCUGUCUCAGCCCCUGAGGACUGGGUCUACCAUGGCUGGCUUAUUUUAAUUUUUCUUGUCUCAUAUAUGUUGUGAAUAUUUUCUUUAAUGUGUUGUAAUUUUUAUUUAUGAUCUUAUUGGAUAGUUUGUGUUUUUCUUAAAAGAUUUACUUUGUUUGUACAUAUGUGAAUGGGAGUCUGUGUGUAUGUACACAUGUGUGUGUGUGCCUCCCAAGGCCAGGGGAGCCCUGGCUAUGCUGGAGCUGGAGCCACGCCGGGGCUGGAGCCACGGGCGGUUUGAGUUUCCCACUGUACCUACCAAAUUCUAGUCCUCUGGCGAGCAGCAAGCGUUCUUGUCCAGUGAGCAGUGUCUCCAGACCCCAAGUUUAUGUUUUUAUGAAGUCAAAUUUAUCUAUCUUUUUUAUUUCUGUGGUUUCUAAGUUGAGAUUUGCUUUACAAUAAAGAUUUUCUAAUGCCAAGAUCAGAGAAGAAAAUGUCGUUGUUAAAAAGAAGAAAAAAGGCAGCAGGGGAGUAUGGAGAGAUGACACACAGGUCAGGAGCUCUGGCUGCCCUUCCAUGGACCCAGAUUCAAUUCUCAGCACACAGGCAAAACACCAGUGUGCGGGAAAUAAAAAUAAAUAUUUAAAAAAGAAAAAA